GUGGCUGUGGUGUAGUCCGGCAGCACAUAAGACUGUGGAUCUUAUAGCCCGGGUUCAAAUCCCGGCAGCCACCCCA
Molecule: transfer RNA, 76 nt
Filed under: Candidatus Woesearchaeota archaeon
Lineage: Archaea; Nanobdellati; Candidatus Woesearchaeota
Description: tRNA-His
Rfam family: tRNA
About the family: Transfer RNA (tRNA) molecules are approximately 80 nucleotides in length. Their secondary structure includes four short double-helical elements and three loops (D, anti-codon, and T loops).
Source: RNAcentral